Molecule: long non-coding RNA, 1005 nt
Organism: Anguilla rostrata (American eel)
Lineage: Eukaryota; Metazoa; Chordata; Actinopteri; Anguilliformes; Anguillidae
Exons: 2
Source: RefSeq, a predicted model, not a curated record
GGAUAGCAGAUUAAUGACCAGCUAAUGCAUCGAAGAAAGCAUCUUAAUGAGCAGGUAAUGUCCAUGAUAACAUCUUAAUGAGCAGGUAAUGUCCAUGAUAACAUCUUAAUGAGCAGGUAAUGUCCAUGAUAACAUCGUAAUGAGCAGGUAAUGUCCAUGAUAACAUCGUAAUGAGCAGGUAAUGUCCAUGAUAACAUCGUAAUGAGCAGGUAAUGUCCAUGAUAACAUUGUAAUGAGCAGGAAAUGUCUAUGAUGACAGCUUAACGAGCAGGUAAUGUCCAUUAUAACAUCAUAAUGAGCAGGUAAUGUCCAUGAUAACAUCGUAAUGAGCAGGUAGUGUCCAUGAUAACAUCGUAAUGAGCAGGUAAUGUCUAUGAUGACAGCUUAAUGAGCAGGUAAUGUCCAUGAUAACAUCGUAAUGAGCAGGUAAUGUCCAUGAUAACAUCGUAAUGAGUAGGUAAUGUCUAUGAUGACAGCUUAACGAGCAGGUAAUGUCUGUGUUGACAGCUUAACAAGCAGGUAAUGUCAGUGACAACAGCUUAACAAGCACAGUUAUCUUGAAUAAUAAAUCUUAACGAGCAUAUAUUGUGUCUGUGAUAACAGCUUAACAAGCAGGUAAUGUCUGUGAUGACAGCUUAAGGAGCAAAUUGGACUGGGAGUUUGGCACUUCUCAGGGUUUCUUACAGAAAUAACCCCAAUGACCACAGAAUAUCUGCCCUCAGUGUAAUUGCACUCACUGUUUCAGCCAGGCUCCACCUACUACACAAUUCUAAAAAAAUGCAUCCUGGGGUGAGUGGAGUAGGUGUGUUCAUCUCAUUUGCAUAAAGUAUUCUAUAUGCUUGUUAUUUCUACAGCGUAAGCUUAUGAAACUCUGAUCAAACUGUCAUACAAGGCGUUGCAGAUGAAAUAUGAACCUAGAUUCAGCAAUUACAUGGUCUAUUUCUCACCUCAGAUGUUUUCAGUAUCAUAUUUUAGUGGACUGUUUAGGUGGAAUAUAAGAGUUAA